UGGGGAAUUUUGGACAAUGGGCGAAAGCCUGAUCCAGCAAUGCCGCGUGUAGGAUGAAGGCCCUCGGGUUGUAAACUACUUUUGUACGGAACGAAAAGACUCUCUCUAAUAAAGAGGGUCCAUGACGGUACCGUAAGAAUAAGCACCGGCUAACUACGUGCCAGCAGCCGCGGUAAUACGUAGGGUGCAAGCGUUAAUCGGAAUUACUGGGCGUAAAGCGUGCGCAGGCGGUUAUGUAAGACAGAGGUGAAAUCCCCGGGCUCAACCUGGGAACGGCCUUUGUGACUGCAUAGCUAGAGUACGGUAGAGGGGGAUGGAAUUCCGCGUGUAGCAGUGAAAUGCGUAGAUAUGCGGAGGAACACCGAUGGCGAAGGCAAUCCCCUGGACCUGUACUGACGCUCAUGCACGAAAGCGUGGGGAGCAAAC
This 426-nucleotide ribosomal RNA is filed under the name uncultured bacterium. RNAcentral's name for it is "bacterial SSU rRNA". It matches the Rfam family "Bacterial small subunit ribosomal RNA", at positions 355 to 773 of the family's 1533-position model. The record is from RNAcentral.